Molecule: ribosomal RNA, 253 nt
Filed under: uncultured bacterium
Lineage: Bacteria
Description: partial 16S ribosomal RNA
Rfam family: Bacterial small subunit ribosomal RNA
Source: RNAcentral
UACGGAGGGUGCAAGCGUUGUUCGGAAUCACUGGGCGUAAAGCGCGUGUAGGCGGUCUGUUAAGUCUGAUGUGAAAGCCCGGGGCUCACCCCCGGAAGUGCAUUGGAAACUGCCAGACUGGAGUCCCGGAGAGGAGGGUGGAAUUCCUGGUGUAGCGGUGAAAUGCGUAGAUAUCAGGAGGGACACCGGUGGCGAAGGCGGCCCUCUGGACGGUGACUGACGCUGAGACGCGAAAGCGUGGGGAGCAAACAGG